GUGGGGAAUAUUGCACAAUGGGCGAAAGCCUGAUGCAGCAACGCCGCGUGAAGGAAGAAGGCCCUUGGGUCGUAAACUUCUGUUCUAAGGGAAGAUAAUGACGGUACCUUAGGAGCAAGUCCCGGCUAACUACGUGCCAGCAGCCGCGGUAAUACGUAGGGGGCGAGCGUUAUCCGGAAUUAUUGGGCGUAAAGAGUACGUAGGUGGUUAUCUAAGCGAGGGGUUUAAGGCAAUAGCUCAACUAUUGUUUGCCCCGCGAACUGGGUGACGUGAGGGCUGGAGAGGAAAGCGGAAUUCCUAGUGUAGCGGUGAAAUGCGUAGAUAUUAGGAGGAACAUCAGUGGCGAAGGCGGCUUUCUGGACAGUAACUGACACUGAGGUACGAAAGUGUGGGGAGCAAACAGGAUUAGAAACCCCUGUAGUCC
This 424-nucleotide ribosomal RNA is filed under the name uncultured bacterium. Its description in RNAcentral is "partial 16S ribosomal RNA". It matches the Rfam family "Bacterial small subunit ribosomal RNA", at positions 354 to 796 of the family's 1533-position model. The record is from RNAcentral.